Molecule: ribosomal RNA, 254 nt
Filed under: uncultured bacterium
Lineage: Bacteria
Description: partial 16S ribosomal RNA
Rfam family: Bacterial small subunit ribosomal RNA
Source: RNAcentral
UACAGGGGGGGGCAAGCGUUGUUCGGAAUUACUGGGCGUAAAGGGCCAGUAGGCGGCCAACUAAGUCCGACGUGAAAUCCCCGGGCUUAACCUGGGAACUGCAUUUGAAACUGGCAGGCUUGAGUCUUGUAGAGGGGGGUAGAAUUCCAGGUGUAGCGGUGAAAUGCGUAGAGAUCUGGAGGAAUACCGGUGGCGAAGGCGGCCCCCUGGACAAAGACUGACGCUCAGGUGCGAAAGCGUGGGGAGCAAACAGG